GGGCGAUUAGCUCAGUGGGAGAGCGCUACCUUGACACGGUAGAGGUCACUGGUUCAAUCCCAGUAUCGCCCAC
Molecule: transfer RNA, 73 nt
Filed under: Actinomadura cremea
Lineage: Bacteria; Bacillati; Actinomycetota; Actinomycetes; Streptosporangiales; Thermomonosporaceae
Also listed under: 5 other names
Description: tRNA-Val
Rfam family: tRNA
About the family: Transfer RNA (tRNA) molecules are approximately 80 nucleotides in length. Their secondary structure includes four short double-helical elements and three loops (D, anti-codon, and T loops).
Source: RNAcentral